This 651-nucleotide ribosomal RNA is filed under the name Klebsiella sp. HPC54. RNAcentral's name for it is "bacterial SSU rRNA". It matches the Rfam family "Bacterial small subunit ribosomal RNA", at positions 34 to 677 of the family's 1533-position model. Lineage: Bacteria; Pseudomonadati; Pseudomonadota; Gammaproteobacteria; Enterobacterales; Enterobacteriaceae. The record is from RNAcentral.
CGCCGGCGGCAGGCCUAAAACAUGCAAGUCGAGCGGUAGCACAGAGAGCUUGCUCUCGGGUGACGAGCGGCGGACGGGUGAGUAAUGUCUGGGAAACUGCCUGAUGGAGGGGGAUAACUACUGGAAACGGUAGCUAAUACCGCAUAACGUCGCAAGACCAAAGUGGGGGACCUUCGGGCCUCAUGCCAUCAGAUGUGCCCAGAUGGGAUUAGCUAGUAGGUGGGGUAACGGCUCACCUAGGCGACGAUCCCUAGCUGGUCUGAGAGGAUGACCAGCCACACUGGAACUGAGACACGGUCCAGACUCCUACGGGAGGCAGCAGUGGGGAAUAUUGCACAAUGGGCGCAAGCCUGAUGCAGCCAUGCCGCGUGUGUGAAGAAGGCCUUCGGGUUGUAAAGCACUUUCAGCGGGGAGGAAGGCGGUGAGGUUAAUAACCUCACCGAUUGACGUUACCCGCAGAAGAAGCACCGGCUAACUCCGUGCCAGCAGCCGCGGUAAUACGGAGGGUGCAAGCGUUAAUCGGAAUUACUGGGCGUAAAGCGCACGCAGGCGGUCUGUCAAGUCGGAUGUGAAAUCCCCGGGCUCAACCUGGGAACUGCAUUCAAAACUGGCAGGCUAGAGUCUUGUAGAGGGGGUAGAAUUCCAGGUGUA